RNAcentral lists this transfer RNA (56 nucleotides) under Helicella itala. Its description in RNAcentral is "tRNA-Leu". The record is from RNAcentral. Lineage: Eukaryota; Metazoa; Mollusca; Gastropoda; Stylommatophora; Geomitridae.
AUGGUGGCAGAAAAAUGCAUAGAUCUUAAGCGUCUACUAUAAGGUUUACCUUCUAU